UACUUUAGAGCUCUCCUGUGCUUACUUGGGCCUUGCUCUUUCCCUGAACAGGGCACCAGCUUCCUAAACCAGAGGUGAUCCUGCAGUUGGAGAAAGGGGAAGAUCCCUGGCUGGUGGAGAGGGCAGUUCAAGAGUUGUGUCCAGAUUUGGAUACUAAUGUUGAAAUGAAAUCACCUGUUUCCAGUAAGAACAUUUCUCAAGAUAAAAAACCCUGUGGCAUUAAAGUAGAAGGAAUGGCAAGGAAGGAUCUCUGGUAUCUGUCAUUGGAAGACAUGUGGAAAUGUGAAGACCCAUUGGCUGGUGUUCGUGGGCAUCUGCUUGGCUUCUGUCUACCUGAAGUGCAGACAGCCUCCCAGCAAGCUAGAGAUGAGGGGAGCACGUACCUUGGAUCUUCGAGGUUCCUCCUCUCCAGGAAGGAGACCACUCAUGUGAUGGGAUCAGAGAGCAUCAAGGUCAGGAGCCUGUUCUCCAAGGGACCCCCGACUAGAGGCCUCUCCUGGGAGCAGCUGGGCAGAGGCAGAAGAGCCCCAGGACAGAGCAGGUCCUAGAGUGGCUGUUUAUUUCCCAGGAACAGCUAGAAACCACCAAGUCCUGGACAAAAUCUGGGAGAUUGGUGAUCAUACAGAGAGGCAACAGGAGAACCAAGGCAAGGUGGGAAGUGUGGCAAAAAGCUUUGAAUGUACUUCAUUUGGAGAAUUAUGUCUUCUCAGUACAAGUUAUACUUCAAGACAAUGUUCAUAACUGUGGCACACAUGGAAAGAUGUUGAACUACGAUAUACUAAUUAUGAACUAUGAUACUAAUUAUGCUGGAAAGAAUCCUAAUGGGUUUCACAUACAGGGGGAAUUAUUAUUUUAUUCUAAGCAUGAGCAAACUGUUACUGGAAUUACAUAAUAUGAAAAUAACAAAUCUGGGAAAACUGAACAAGAAGUCACCACUUAUUUGCCAGCAGGUGCAUCAUGGGGAGAAAGCCUAUAGCAGCAGGUCAUGCCUUGUAGUGCAUCAGCAAACUCCUGUGGGAGGGAAAAUCUGUGAA
Molecule: long non-coding RNA, 1034 nt
Filed under: Ictidomys tridecemlineatus (thirteen-lined ground squirrel)
Lineage: Eukaryota; Metazoa; Chordata; Mammalia; Rodentia; Sciuridae
Description: lncRNA (ENSSTOG00000029645.1)
Source: RNAcentral